GGGCGCUUAGCUCAGUGGGAGAGCGCUUCCUUGACGCGGAAGAGGUCGUAAGUUCGAUCCUUACAGCGCCCACCA
RNAcentral lists this transfer RNA (75 nucleotides) under Caldanaerovirga acetigignens. Its description in RNAcentral is "tRNA_Val_GAC". It matches the Rfam family "tRNA". From Rfam's summary of the family: Transfer RNA (tRNA) molecules are approximately 80 nucleotides in length. Their secondary structure includes four short double-helical elements and three loops (D, anti-codon, and T loops). Further hydrogen bonds mediate the characteristic L-shaped molecular structure. tRNAs have two regions of fundamental functional importance: the anti-codon, which is responsible for specific mRNA codon recognition, and the 3' end, to which the tRNAs corresponding amino acid is attached (by aminoacyl-tRNA synthetases). tRNAs cope with the degeneracy of the genetic code in two manners: having more than one tRNA (with a specific anti-codon) for a particular amino acid; and 'wobble' base-pairing, i.e. permitting non-standard base-pairing at the 3rd anti-codon position. RNAcentral also lists the same sequence under 5 other names. Lineage: Bacteria; Bacillati; Bacillota; Clostridia; Thermosediminibacterales; Thermosediminibacteraceae. The record is from RNAcentral.